CCAUCUUGCUACUAUCUAGAUCUACUCUAGUUUAGAGAAGAGAGGAGAGCUCUCAUAUCUAAACCCUAGCUUUUGCUCUGUCUAUGCAUAAUGAAUAAUGAUCAAGGGGUGCCUCCUCCAGGGGCCAGGGGGUCUGGUUUUAUAGUCCCCUCAAGUGAACCUGGGCCGUCGGAUCAAACCGACAUUGAUUGAACGGUUAUUCUUGAUCCUUUAGGUCGGUGGAGCAUAAUCCGCGAGAUUGAGCGUGAUUGGCCACAGGAGGUGGGCGGGCGCCCAGUAGGACAGGGCGGGCGCCCUGUCUCUGGCCCCGUUUCGCCUCCGCUUCGGUCUCGUGGCUUCUGGAGUCUUCUAGAUGUAAUAUAAUUGCGCGGCACGUUGAUAUCUCUAUGUAAUCCCGACGUGUGGGCCUUUCUUCCUUAUUUCCUGAUAACCCCCUGCAGAAAUAGACAAACACCAAAACUCGUGGAAUUCUGUCAGAUAAAACCCUAAGUCUAGAUGUUGAUUUCAUUUGGAUCCUUUUCUUUGUUUAUUUGAUAAUUAAAUUUGAUACUUAAGGACCGUCAACAAACUCCCCCAAGCUUACCUCUUGCUCGUCCCUAAGCAAGGAUAGACUCAGCAAUGGAUCAGAAGUUGUUGCAAUAUCUUAAAAAUUUGACGGUACACAUACUUUUAAAUGAGGUCUCAUCUCUGAGUUAGAGUAAACUGUCAAGACUUAAAACUUACUUACUUUACCUUUCACCAUGGGACUUGUAACCGUCACUUCUGUCUUGAGUGGUUAAAAGAUAGAACAGUCCCGUCAAGUGCCAUGUCUCUUAUUCGUGAUCAGCUAUAGCUCUGGAGUUUUUGCAGAUUUUCAAAUAAAACUCAGAGAUUCCUUUGUAUGACUCCCUCAUAUCUCUCUUUUGUGGUAUUUCUGGAUCCUUACCAAGGCAGUGAUGGUAUAUGCCUUCUCUCAAAAUAUGUGGUAUUUGUGGUAUAAGGGAUAGUGACAUUGCCCUCUCUCUCACCCUACUCUAAUAAGGCUUUAAUAUCUGGAGCUCAUAGGUGGGAGAUAAAGUAUACAUACUUACAAGACAUUUAUUGUAUAGUCAAACCAUGGAUCCAAAGAAACAAAUCAAUAAGCCAAAUCAAGAUGUGCAUGUGUGGCGAAUGAAUAGUGUAUGGUGAUGAUGGUGAUAACAAUGGUGAAAGUCUAAUUCUACUUUUGCUCUUUUGAGGGGAUACAUACCUUCCUUGCUUUUUGAAACUUUAUGAGGAGAAUGAGAUGCUCUUCUUUUUCUUUCCUCUCAGGUGGGUAUCUUGUACCCCUAAUUCUACUGUCGGACACUUGUCCAUUUUUACCUCUCGUCUCACUCUUUUUGUUUUCUUUCGAGGUUAUGGGCACUUGCCCCUUUUUAUUUCCUCGUUUAUUUUUUUUCUUUUCUUUUUUUUCUUCUUUUUUUUCAGAGCACUCAUCUCUUGAGAUAAUAUAGCAAGUGGUAGUAGCAAGAUAACUUGAGCAUUUAUUUCACAAGAGAAAAACACAUAUGUUUUUGGCUAUUCUCUCCCGAAUUAGGAGUAGAAUAUUUUUAGGUGAUUUUGGAGAUGGAAAUGGAUGGAUAUAUGUGGAUGGUACUUCCGGAGUAGAAGUAGCAUAUAUGAGUGAACGUGCAAGUGAAUCUUGAUUUAACCACAUGACAAGCUCCUAAGGGUCUACACAGCUUGACCACACUCAAUGCUCAUAAGCAGUAAAUAAUAAAUGUGUGGCUCAAAGUCUAGCAAGCAUGUAUAUAUGGCUGUGGUAGGAAUUUAAACUCUCAUCAUACAGGAACUCAUCAUGCAACAUUUUAAAGAUUUUCAAAGAUAAAAUUCUCCAGAAUUCUAGCAUCUCUAGGAACAGAUAAACAGCAGCUCAACCUUCCCAUAUCUUAUCCGUUAACAACUUAGAUUUCAGAUCAAGUUUUCAUCCCACAAGUUUAGAUCUAGAGCAAGCUUUAAAUUAUAACAGUUAUGUCUAAACUUGAGAGAGAACUUUAAAUUUGCAAAUUAGGCAGAGCAACUAUUCAUCAUAUCCAUGCUAGAGUUUUAUUAUUAAGAUUCAUAGCAAACUUUAUUUAUUUAUUUAUUUAUUUAGCAAACUAAGAAAAGAUAUAUAUAUAUAAGCAUAAAAUCUUUAUUUGGUUUUUCAUAGUUUAUGUAUUUUAAUAUUCUAAUAUAAGUAUAAAGAUAGGUAGAAAUACUUAGCGAGAUAAAUAGGGGUGCUUUUCCCCAAGCUGAAUUUUGACGUAAUUUCUCUUGAUGUAGCUAGCAGGUGGCAGAGGUGUAUUUGAAAGUCAGCAGCAUUCUGACAGCGAUUAGAAUGUCCUCCGUCUGCUAGUCUUCUUGAUUCUUAAAUUCUGUGGAGCUCAAAUAGACAACAAAGCUUGUGGAACUAAUUAAGUGUUAGCAUAAAUAUCUAGCCUUCAUCACGUUGAGAUUCCUCAAUAAAUAUUACUCCCUGUUUUUAUAUAUUUUUAUUUUAUAAAGUAGAAAAGAAAUAUUUAUUUUAUUUUUAUGCCACCACAGUGAAGGUACUUAUGGGUUUUAUGCCACUCGUAUACUCACAUGGGGCUUAGUAUUUUUUAAUAUUUUUAUUUUCUUUUCAAGAUAGCAUGAUUAACUAAAAAUCUAUUUAAGGAAAGUAAAUAAUUAAAGGAAAAAGGAAAUGCAGAAAGGAUAAAUAUGGAUAACUACCAAUCUUACCUUUCGGCGAGGGUUCAAUGUUUUAAGUCUUCUUGACAAGACUUCUCACCGUGUUCAUUCUUCAGGUGCAUCAUUUGAUUCAGGUGCGGACCUUGACGUCUGCACCUUUUAAUACGGUGUCACCCAUGUUCUUCGUUUGCCCAACAGUUCGAAGUGUGGUGUUAGCAGUAUCUUGCUCAGUGUGUUUGUGCUCGUAGUGUACCUGCUCAUAGAGACAAGGCAGAGAUCAAGUGCAUGGGCCCUGUUGGUGGAAAACACCAACAGAACCAAAAGUGUAUUUGUUCUUCUCUAACCUUAAGCAUAGUGAGCAAGACAAAGUUGAUGGAUGAUAAGUUCAUGAGUGUAGCACUUAUAACAUUUGUCAGAUCAGAUCGCUCAACCUUAUGGAAAGAUAAUCUAUCUAUGUAUAUGUCUUUUUCUUUAUGUCUCUCAAUGAUUGAAUGUGUAACAUUUUAGCUCAUAUGAUUAGGAGUGUGGGAUCAUGGAGGUAGUACUAAGAACAAGGAUUAAAGGACUAAACAUGUUGAAUCAGUUGGGUUGGUUAAUCUAGAGUUGUAAAUCAUACACGUUUGUCUCUUUUAUUUAUAUGAACGCCAGAACCAAGG
This 3326-nucleotide long non-coding RNA is filed under the name Sorghum bicolor (sorghum). RNAcentral's name for it is "long non-coding RNA (SBIC_LNC015785)". Lineage: Eukaryota; Viridiplantae; Streptophyta; Magnoliopsida; Poales; Poaceae. The record is from RNAcentral.